AAUGAACGCUGGCGGCAUGCCUAACACAUGCAAGUCGAACGAAGGCUUCGGCCUUCGUGGCGCACGGGUGCGUAACGCGUGGGAAUCUGCCCUCAGGUUCGGAAGAACAGCGAGAAAUUGCUGCUAAUACCGGAUGAUAUCGCGAGAUCAAAGAUUUAUCGCCUGAGGAUGAGCCCGCGUAGGAUUAGCUAGUUGGUGUGGUAAAGGCGCACCAAGGCGACGAUCCUUAGCUGGUCUGAGAGGAUGAUCAGCCACACUGGGACUGCGACACGGCCCAGACUCCUCCUGAAGGACGCCGUGGGCACUAUUGGAUAAUGAGCGCAAGUCUGUUCCAGCAAUGGCGCGUGGGUGAUGAAGGCCUUAGGGUUGUAAAGCGCUUUUACCCGGUAUGAUAAAGACAGUAACGGGGGAAUAAGCUCCGGCUAACUCCGUGCCAGCCGCCGCGGUAA
Molecule: ribosomal RNA, 449 nt
Filed under: uncultured bacterium
Lineage: Bacteria
Description: partial 16S ribosomal RNA
Rfam family: Bacterial small subunit ribosomal RNA
Source: RNAcentral